Agrilus planipennis (emerald ash borer) is the source of this 215-nucleotide non-coding RNA. NCBI's taxonomy places the organism in Eukaryota, Metazoa, Arthropoda, Insecta, Coleoptera, Buprestidae. The record is from Rfam.
AAUUACCAUUAGAUUCUACGACAUUUUCUCUGCAAGAUGUGUACUUCAGAGUUUUAAUUUUCGUUCAUUUAGAUGGCAAAAACGGUCCAAACAUGGGUGGUAAGGGGUUAAGGUAGAGGGGUUUUAGUUGGUAGGUCCUCAUAGGAGGGAAUCCAACACUACCCAGUCGUACGGACGUCUGGGUGUCUUUUGAAGAUUUCCCCUCUACCACGAAA